RNAcentral lists this RNase P RNA (317 nucleotides) under Pseudanabaenococcus habilitatus PCC 7502. Its description in RNAcentral is "Synechococcus sp. PCC 7502 Bacterial RNase P class A". It matches the Rfam family "Bacterial RNase P class A", at positions 12 to 274 of the family's 367-position model. From Rfam's summary of the family: Ribonuclease P (RNase P) is a ubiquitous endoribonuclease, found in archaea, bacteria and eukarya as well as chloroplasts and mitochondria. Its best characterised activity is the generation of mature 5'-ends of tRNAs by cleaving the 5'-leader elements of precursor-tRNAs. The record is from RNAcentral. Lineage: Bacteria; Bacillati; Cyanobacteriota; Cyanophyceae; Pseudanabaenales; Pseudanabaenaceae.
CGUAGGUGGUUGCGGAGACUUAAAAAAUCUCUGAGGAAAGUCCGGGCUUCCACAGAAUCAAACUGCUGGAUAAUACCCAGUGUGAGCGAUCGCGAGGAAAGUGCCACAGAAAAAUACCGCCUUGAUCAUAAUUUAUUAAGUAUUCAGGAUACUAAACCUAUUGCUAAAUAUUUAAAUCAGAUUAUGCUAAAGGUAAGGGUGCAAAGGUGUGUUAAGAGCGCACCAGCAAAGUCGAGAGGCUUUGGCUCGGUAAACCCCAGUUGGAAGCAAGGCGAGAGGAAUAAGCUAUAACUGAUUCUGGUCGGCUUUUCCGUUGU